Molecule: long non-coding RNA, 253 nt
Filed under: Mytilus galloprovincialis (Mediterranean mussel)
Lineage: Eukaryota; Metazoa; Mollusca; Bivalvia; Mytilida; Mytilidae
Source: RNAcentral
CUGUCCCAAGUCAGGAGCCUGUAAUUCAGUGGUUGUCGUUUGUUUAUGUGUUACAUAUUUGUUUUUCGUUCAUUUUUAUAUAAAUAAGGCCGUUAGUUUUCUCGUUUGAAUUGUUUUACAUUGUCAUAUCGGGCCUUUUAUAGCUGACUAUGCGGUAUGGGCUUUGCUCAUUGUUGAAGGCCGUACGGUGACCUAUAGUUGUUAAUUUCUGUGUUAUUUUGGUCUCUUGUGGACAGUUGUCUCAUUGGCAAUC